Acinonyx jubatus (cheetah) is the source of this 4927-nucleotide long non-coding RNA. RefSeq lists it as uncharacterized. Lineage: Eukaryota; Metazoa; Chordata; Mammalia; Carnivora; Felidae. The record is from RefSeq and is a predicted model, not a curated record. The transcript has 3 exons.
AAACUUCAGGGGCGCCUGGGUGGCUCAGUCGGUUGAACGGCCGACUUCGGCUCAGGUCACGAUCUCGUGGUCCGUGAGUUCGAGCCCCGCGUCGGGCUCUGUGCUGACAGCUCGGAGCCUGGAGCCUGUUUCGGAUUCUGUGUCUCCCUCUCUCUGACCCUCCCCCGUUCAUGCUCUGUCUCUCUCUGUCUCAAAGAUAAAUAAACGUUAAUAAAAAAAAUUUUUUUUAAAAUAAAUAAAAGCAAAUUUCACGUCAUCACCAUAAAUGGCAACCACCGCCACUUCCAUAAAUAAAAACUCUCGGUGGGCAAAGCGGGUGAAGGUGGUCAUGCAAAUUUUGGGGGGACACAAACAUUUGAAUCAUUGCAAUGAAUACCCCAAGCAGCAUAAAAUCCAGAAAAAUACUAUUUUUAUUACUUUCCUGGCACUAUAACGCCUUUUACUUUUUUGGCCGCAUAUUCUUUGCUUCUUUGUGUGAAGAUUUGACAUAUUUUCCAUAAAGGAAGUAGAAAGAUCAUUCUGUCUUUCCAACGGCCUGUUUUUUUCUCCACUGCCUGUGUACUCUGGGUACCAGGUAACACGGGACACGUUCCUUUGGCCCUCUGGCCCUGCAUCUUUGUACCUGGACCCAGGGGAGUUGGCACAACAGACAGGAGGAGGGUUCCAGAAGCCAUUCCUAAACUGGGACAGUCGGGAAUAACUGAAUCAUUAAUGGAGGUGGCUGUGACCCACAUAAAUAUAUCCCACUAAACCUAGAGUGAACAUAUGCCCAACUCAACGACUCUCUCUUAGCCCGACCCCCAAAUUGGCCUCUCCAAUACCACCCGACUCAAGAGGCAGUAUGAUAGAGGGGACGCCGGAGGGGAAGGAGACAGUAGUGUUAAUCAGUUUGCUUCAUACAUCUUAGCUCUCACGGGGCGACUGGAUGGCUCAGGAGCUUAAGUGACCUACUCCGGAUUUCGGCGCAGGUCAUGUUCUCGCAGUUCGUGGGAUCAAGUCUCACGCUUUGCUGUCAGCACAGAGCCUGCUUGGGACUCUCUCUCUCUCUCUGCCCCUCCCCUGCUCAUGCUCUCUCAUGCUCAAGAAGUCAACGUUUUUUUAAAAAAUACAUCUUAGGUCUCUCAAAUGUUGCAAACACCUCUAGUCAUGGAAACCCAUUGCCUAGGCAGAGAAGAGCCUUCAAGUUCAAGCUUUUCGGGGACCCCACCUCCGGAUUUGGUUCCUAAACCAGCUGGGAAGACAGAUAACGGCUGGGGUGCCAGCCAGUGACGCUUGCCAAAGGAAGAUGCAGCCUGGUUAUACCCUUCCUCUGGAAGGCUUCCCUCUGCCUCCUUCCUUCUCUCCUCUCCUUUCAGGAGCAGAGUCCCUCUUCCUCGACCGUGAACGCUUCCCAGGAAAGGAGCCAGUGUUUACCGACGCCAAAUUGCCAUCUGCCUGGCACGGGGCCAGGGAUUUUACGUCUGUCAUCUCUGGCCAAGCUCCCGGCAGCCCUUGCUGUGCUGAAAAAUCGAUGAAGAAUCAGAGAAGCGCCCAGCACCGCACAUGACACGAACAGCCAAAGACAGCACUCGGCGCCAUCUUCCGGGCACAGGUGCUCAGCAAAUGUCUGACGUGGGACGUUCCUCGGCUUUUGCGGAGAGGAAACUCUGGAGUCAAAGCCGUUGGCUGAGUCCUGGACGAGCCACCUUCCAGCUGUGUCAUCUUGGACCGCGAGACCAUGACCUGAGCUGAAGUCAGACGCUCAACCCACUGAGUUGCCCAGGCGCCUCACGCUGGCUCCUUUUUUCCUCCGCCUGUUCUUACUCCAACCUCCAAAGCACCUCUCUCCAUGACCGGCCAAGAGAGGCUCCUAGAAAUAAGAUUCAGGUAGGAGAUCACUCCGCUCCCCACCCCGCAUGGCUUCCAGGAGGCACAGGCACCCUCAGCCCAGGAGACACUGAGCGGCUCUGGGUCUGCUCACGAGCUGUGACUAUUGCCGGCUGGAUGACUGUCCUCUGGGCAUCGUGGGCUCUGACGCCAUUUUGUCUCCACUCCGUCUGUCUUCAAAGUCCAUGGGUAACUUCUUUGUUCGGAAGGGGCUCCCAAAGGGGGUCCAACCAUCCCGGACCCCCCCUCCAUUCCUAUUCCCCCUCGCCAUCCAUCUGAGCAGCCCCUUGCACUCAUCUGGAGCUGACCCAAGUAGACAAGAGCCCCAGACACCUUGGUACAAUUUUAUUCACAAACUCCAGACACCCAGGCUUGGCCUGGCACAAAGGAUGUGUCCUUGCCAGUGGCAAAAAACUGCUGACAGCACGUUCAUGAAUACUAACCGUUUUAAUUUAAAUUAAUAGCAUUUCUGGAAGACAAAUGCAGUUGAUAGAAAAUAUAAAAACUUUUACUGUACAAAUUUUACAUCACAUUCAAAAAACAAGCAGGCGUGUGCCUGUGGCCACGGAAGACGCUGGCUUUACACACACUGAUGAAAUCCUGGCUAACACUGCAGCAUCGUAUGAGCUCCCUAAAUGGCUUCACAUUUGUGUUUCCACCCCGCCCCCCCCCCCCCCCCAAAUCAACACAGAACCACGGCAAUACAGGCUUACAGGGCGCACAGCUGCCCCCUGUGAUCACAAGAAGAAAGGCCACGACGGGGCAGGAUUCCAGCGCCCUGCGCGGAUUUGGUGACGCGAGAGAGGUCAACACCGCUACACUGCCCUCGACUAACGGGGAGCUUGCUGGGAUUCGGGAUCUCGAGUUGGAUGGAGACCCAGGGACUGCGGCUUGGGAGAAUAAAGGCAGCGGGGACAUGGGCCCUAGGGUUUGGGAGGGGACGUUGGGGACUGGGGGCCCGCUGUAAAGAAGGACCAAAGCUUGGGCUCCACUCAGACCCCGCUGGGGACUCCGCAGCCCCCAGAGCUCUCGCCAAGGAGGGCCUCCCAGCUUCUCCGUCCCCUUCACGGCUGGCCGUGAGGGCUGAAUUCACAGUAUCUGCCGUCCUUCGUGUGUUUCCAUGGCAGACGGGGAGAGCACACAGAAGGACAAGCACGUGUUCCCAACCUCAAUUCACAGUCACUUAAAGAGACGGAAGGAGAAGGGGACCACGUUUUUUUUCUUUUUUUUUUUAAAUGACAGGCAGCACAGAGGCUAGGCCAAGAGCUGGGGGGCCGUCCAGGGCCCUGAAGACGAAGGGGGUGUCCCCCAGGCCUUCGGCUCUCCUUCAGGGUUCCUGGCAAAGUGUCAAUUCCUUAAGGGCAGGGACUGUGACGCCUCCCAUCGUGGGUCCCUGAACUUGCAUAAGACACCGUAGGUAUUCGACGAAAGCUUCUUGAACUGACCUGCGGGCGUGACGCCCACGGGGGAGGCCAAGGGAUGACAGGAUGAGACCAGCAGUCUCACGGAGGAGGGAAGAGCCACCCGGGGCUGACCCUAGCUGGGUGUCAGCUCCUGUCUUCCCCGACCAGGAAGGGAAAGGAGCUCGGGUCUGGGGCGCUCAUGGGGGGCGGGAGCCUGGAUACCUUGCCCGGCUGCACAGCUGCGCUCUCCAAGCGAGUGUGGAUCGGGCCGGGGGGCAUCUGACCCAGAGACAGGAAGGUGGCCCUACGACUUCGAGGCCGCGGCCCACUUCCCAGGACAUUGUGGCCAGACUCCAGGGAAGGCUCUGAAGAUUGGGAGCUUUGCUGGGGGAGUCUAAAUGAAAGGGAUGGGUGGCCCACACACCUCCCCAUCUUGGCUCAGAGCAUGGACACAGGUUCUGGGUCUGAAUCCAACCACGUCUCCACCCUCGUCACCCUUGGUCAGUUCUGGUUUGGGGCCUAACAUGGCGUAACGUCCACUGAAGGCUUCUCUCCCGUUUGGAACUUUUCUCUUUAGGUGACGGCUUCUGACGAAGACAGACAGGAUGCUCUCACGUCACCGACUUUCCCCAGUCAAGCCCCUCCUUCUGGCGCAAAUGUACGCAAGUGGCCCGGACUCGGUUCACGGAAGGCUCUGAAGACUGGGGGCCGGGUGGGUCCAGAUGAAAGGCGUGGGGGGCACGGGCCUCCCGUCCCAGCCGAGAACUCAGAUGUGGGCAGUGGAAGACUCAGGAGUGGCAAGGACUUCGAAAAGGGCUGGGGGAGAAGAGGUGGGCAGUUCCGAACCUUGGCAUGACUGCUGACGGGCUCCCAAAGAGCCAGGUCACCCUGUGGCUGGGAGGGUGGGCUCAGGGACCCUACUGCCUGCCACUUCUCUCUCCCCCUACCUUCUUUCUUCUCACCAAUCAAGCCUUCAUGGUGUCCACAGCUGUGGGGCUGGGCCUUCGCUCUUAGCCUCUUCGCUCACAUGUGAGCCAGGGACACGGAUGAGUCCCAGCUCCUUAGCGUCUGCCUUCCUGGAAGCCGCGAGAAGAAAAGCUCUCUACAGGCCGUACAAACCCUGGCUACCAACCACUGGGUCAGUCCAGAUGUUAUUUGGGUUUCAGCCGUCUCUACUUUUCUGGCAGGUAGGGGCUGCAUCCCUGGGGCCGAAUGAGAACCCCAGCUCGCUGGGAACCCCCGACCCUCAUAAUCCAGCUUGGUUCCUAGCCAGGGUUUCCUCUGCCACAGGAAAAAGGGACAGUGUCCUUCCGGUAGGACGGGGGAGAACCCUACAGAGGGAGACUCCCCACGGAUGGGGUUUAGGGCCAAAGCAGAGUCCAGGUCGAACCUUGUGGUCCCCAUCCUACCCCGAGAACAGCCACAGUCACCGUGCUUUUCUUCCUUCUCACUGCCGACAGGGGCCUCCGGGGAGGGGGGGUGGGGUCGCUUCCACCAGCCUGGCAGGUGGUGCCAGCCCACUUCUGCAGAGCACUUUUUCUUAGUACCUGUUGUAAAACAGCGAGUUCACUCCACAGAGACGUAUGUGUAAACGUUUGCUGCCUGUCAGGGCGGGUCUGGUUGUUGGUGAUGUCACUUUAAGACAAACAGCAGGUGCA